UACGUAGGGUGCAAGCGUUGUCCGGAAUUACUGGGCGUAAAGCGUGCGCAGGCGGUUUUGUAAGCCAGAUGUGAAAGCCCCGGGCUUAACCUGGGAAUGGCAUUUGGGACUGCAAGGCUUGAGUGCGGCAGAGGAGACUGGAAUUCCUGGUGUAGCAGUGAAAUGCGUAGAUAUCAGGAGGAAUACCGAUGGCGAAGGCAGGUCUCUGGGCUGACACUGACGCUCAUGCACGAAAGCGUGGGGAGCAAACAGG
RNAcentral lists this ribosomal RNA (253 nucleotides) under uncultured bacterium. RNAcentral describes it as "partial 16S ribosomal RNA". It matches the Rfam family "Bacterial small subunit ribosomal RNA", at positions 524 to 776 of the family's 1533-position model. The record is from RNAcentral.